This 690-nucleotide ribosomal RNA is filed under the name Bacillus thuringiensis. RNAcentral's name for it is "bacterial SSU rRNA". It matches the Rfam family "Bacterial small subunit ribosomal RNA", at positions 82 to 757 of the family's 1533-position model. The record is from RNAcentral. Lineage: Bacteria; Bacillati; Bacillota; Bacilli; Caryophanales; Bacillaceae.
UCUCAAGAGGUUAGCGGCGGACGGGUGAGUAACACGUGGGUAACCUGCCCAUAAGACUGGGAUAACUCCGGGAAACCGGGGCUAAUACCGGAUAACAUUUUGAACCGCAUGGUUCGAAAUUGAAAGGCGGCUUCGGCUGUCACUUAUGGAUGGACCCGCGUCGCAUUAGCUAGUUGGUGAGGUAACGGCUCACCAAGGCAACGAUGCGUAGCCGACCUGAGAGGGUGAUCGGCCACACUGGGACUGAGACACGGCCCAGACUCCUACGGGAGGCAGCAGUAGGGAAUCUUCCGCAAUGGACGAAAGUCUGACGGAGCAACGCCGCGUGAGUGAUGAAGGCUUUCGGGUCGUAAAACUCUGUUGUUAGGGAAGAACAAGUGCUAGUUGAAUAAGCUGGCACCUUGACGGUACCUAACCAGAAAGCCACGGCUAACUACGUGCCAGCAGCCGCGGUAAUACGUAGGUGGCAAGCGUUAUCCGGAAUUAUUGGGCGUAAAGCGCGCGCAGGUGGUUUCUUAAGUCUGAUGUGAAAGCCCACGGCUCAACCGUGGAGGGUCAUUGGAAACUGGGAGACUUGAGUGCAGAAGAGGAAAGUGGAAUUCCAUGUGUAGCGGUGAAAUGCGUAGAGAUAUGGAGGAACACCAGUGGCGAAGGCGACUUUCUGGUCUGUAACUGACACUGAGGCGCGAA